UACCGGAGAAUGUUAUCACGGGAGACACACGGCGGGUGCUAACGUCCGUCGUGAAGAGGGAAACAACCCAGACCGCCAGCUAAGGUCCCAAAGUCAUGGUUAAGUGGGAAACGAUGUGGGAAGGCCCAGACAGCCAGGAUGUUGGCUUAGAAGCAGCCAUCAUUUAAAGAAAGCGUAAUAGCUCACUGGUCGAGUCGGCCUGCGCGGAAGAUGUAACGGGGCUAAA
RNAcentral lists this ribosomal RNA (226 nucleotides) under Escherichia coli. RNAcentral describes it as "partial 23S ribosomal RNA". It matches the Rfam family "Bacterial large subunit ribosomal RNA", at positions 961 to 1185 of the family's 2925-position model. The record is from RNAcentral. Lineage: Bacteria; Pseudomonadati; Pseudomonadota; Gammaproteobacteria; Enterobacterales; Enterobacteriaceae.